AAGAUUUUAAGUUAAAAAAACUAUUUACCUUCAAAGUAAAAAUUAUUAAAAAUAAAUCUUA
This 61-nucleotide transfer RNA is filed under the name Amblyomma sp. Its description in RNAcentral is "tRNA-Trp". The record is from RNAcentral. Lineage: Eukaryota; Metazoa; Arthropoda; Arachnida; Ixodida; Ixodidae.